AACGAACGCUGGCGGCAGGCUUAACACAUGCAAGUCGAACGAGAUCUUCGGAUCUAGUGGCAGACGGGUGAGGAACACGUGGGAACAUCCCUUUCAGUUCGGAAUAACGUUGGGAAACUAACGCUAAUACCGGAUACGUCCUUCGGGAGAAAGAUUUAUCGCUGAAAGAUUGGCCCGCGUCUGAUUAGAUAGUUGGUGAGGUAAUGGCUCACCAAGGCUACGAUCAGUAGCUGAUCUGAGAGGAUGAUCAGCCACAUUGAGACUGAGACACGGCCCAAACUCCUACGGGAGGCACCAGUGGGGAAUAUUGGCCAGUGGGCGCAAGCCUGAUCCAGCCAUGCCUCGUGAGUGAUGACGGCCUUCGGGUUGUAAAGCUCUUUUGUCCGGGAAGAUAAUGACUGUACCGGAAGAAUAAGCCCCGGCAAACUUCGUGCCAGCAGCCGCAGUAA
This 449-nucleotide ribosomal RNA is filed under the name uncultured bacterium. RNAcentral's name for it is "partial 16S ribosomal RNA". It matches the Rfam family "Bacterial small subunit ribosomal RNA", at positions 29 to 523 of the family's 1533-position model. The record is from RNAcentral.